UACGGAGGAUCCGAGCGUUAUCCGGAUUUAUUGGGUUUAAAGGGUGCGCAGGCGGGAGAUUAAGUCGGCGGUGAAAUUUUGCAGCUCAACUGUAAAAGUGCCUUCGAAACUGGUUUCCUUGAGUGUGGAUGAAGUAGGCGGAAUUUGUGGUGUAGCGGUGAAAUGCAUAGAUAUCACGAGGAACUCCGAUUGCGCAGGCAGCUUACUAUACCAUAACUGACGCUCAGGCACGAAGGCGUGGGGAUCAAACAGGAUUAGAUACCCU
This 265-nucleotide ribosomal RNA is filed under the name uncultured prokaryote. Its description in RNAcentral is "partial 16S ribosomal RNA". It matches the Rfam family "Bacterial small subunit ribosomal RNA", at positions 524 to 788 of the family's 1533-position model. The record is from RNAcentral.